This 351-nucleotide ribosomal RNA is filed under the name uncultured bacterium. Its description in RNAcentral is "bacterial SSU rRNA". It matches the Rfam family "Bacterial small subunit ribosomal RNA", at positions 30 to 377 of the family's 1533-position model. The record is from RNAcentral.
AUUGAACGCUGGCGGCAUGCCUUACACAUGCAAGUCGAACGGCAGCACGGGAGCAAUCCUGGUGGCGAGUGGCGAACGGGUGAGUAAUAUAUCGGAACGUGCCCAGUCGUGGGGGAUAACGUAGCGAAAGCUACGCUAAUACCGCAUACGAUCUAUGGAUGAAAGCGGGGGAUCGCAAGACCUCGCGCGAUUGGAGCGGCCGAUAUCAGAUUAGGUAGUUGGUGGGGUUAAAAAGGCCUACCAAAGCCUUCGAUCUGUAGCUGGUCUUGAGAGGACGACCAGCCACACUGGAACUGAGACACGGUCCAGACUCCUACGGAGGCAGCAGUGGGGAAUUUUGGACAAUGGGCG